CAGUAUGCCAGGCCUUCUUGUCCCUUGCUAUUUCCCAGAGUUUGCCCAAGAUAUACUGAGGGCCUAGCAAAAUGUCUGGCAAAAAUAAGGUGCUCAAAGAAUAUCAAAUGGACAAAAUGGAGAUGAGAAAAGUAUGGUUAAAAGAAGCCCACUAACUUUUAUAUCCAGAGGAAGGCUGAGAUGAGUUUAAUUCUAUAUCUCCCUUCUUAGGGCUGGAAUUGACACCAAGAGAGGAGGAGAUGAAAACCAAAGGUUGAAUGUUGACUCCUGGGAAAUAAUUCAGUAGUCUUGUGGACCCAAGGCUAAAUAGCAUUUGCCAAGAAUAAACAGUCUUGGGAGUGGCCAAGGGGACCUAGGUCAGCUCUCUCGUUUCUACUCCUGUUCUCAAAGUCCUGCCUCAUGGACAUACACGCCAUGACCUCAUUCCUAAGCAACUCCAUACAGUCCACGACCAUCACCCGUUGUUUCCACUUCCGAUUCGAAUAGACCACUGCAAUUUCCACUGUCACCUGGCUUGCACCACUAUUGUUCCGCAACUGUGAACACUGAGAAAUCUGCUGCUCACUGAGUGUGCACAUAUGAGUCAGAUGUACACUGACACGAGUCAGUUUAUCUUGUGGAUUAUAAACUCUUAGAACUAGGGAUCUAUAGUCUCCUUAAUGUCAUCUUUGCUUAGUUACUUUAGUUUGUUUAGGUCAAGGUUGAGGGUUUAACCGCCAAAUGGGUUAUUUAACUUUGCUUUGUUUCACUGCCUCAAACUACCUUCAAUUCAGGCAUUCUCAGAAAACUGAGAAGUGUUAAACAGAGACAGAAUAAUAUAGGGGAAAAAAAUGAACAUUUGAAUAAAAAUUUCCAACUUCACUCUUGCAAACACCAUAUGGUAAAAAGAACAGCAGUGAAAUUCCAAAGCACCUGAAAAAUGAGUUGAGAAAACAAAAAGGUUUAUAUAAUCUAAAAUUCCCGACUGCAGAAAUAUGUAAAUAUAUAUUUAAACUUGAAAUAUAUGGCCAUUCUUAUUAAAUGUAAAGUCAAAGAAAUUUAUGUUAAAGUAAAAUGUAGUCUUCUCAUUCUACUAAUCAUAAACACAGAGGUUUAGAGCUAGGGAGGACCUUGUAGGCCACCCUCUUCAUUCUGUAGGUAAAUUAAGAAAAGUCCAGAGAAGGGUUGCUGACAUACUCAGCAUCAGAUGGCAGUAUUAGAAGGCAGAGUGUGGGAGCAGGAAGACCACAGGCUUUAGAGACAGACAAGUCUGCACAGGACUUCCACCCCUUGGUUAAGUGAAUUGGGAAGCUUUACUCUUUGAAAUGUCAGUGUCCUCAUGUGUGAAUUAGAGAUAUCAGCUUUAAUAUGUUGAAGAAGUACUGUAAAGACUGAAUAUGACAGAUAAUAAAUGAGAAGUGCCUAGUACAGAAUUUCUAGAUUAAGAUGGCAGAAUAAAGUCAGAUUAUAGAAUUUUUCCCUAAAGCUUAAUGAAAUUUAAAAUCA
RNAcentral lists this long non-coding RNA (1485 nucleotides) under Capra hircus (goat). RNAcentral describes it as "lncRNA (ENSCHIG00010013494.1)". The record is from RNAcentral. Lineage: Eukaryota; Metazoa; Chordata; Mammalia; Artiodactyla; Bovidae.